Molecule: ribosomal RNA, 497 nt
Filed under: uncultured bacterium
Lineage: Bacteria
Description: partial 16S ribosomal RNA
Rfam family: Bacterial small subunit ribosomal RNA
Source: RNAcentral
GACGAACGCUGGCGGCGUGCCUAAUACAUGCAAGUUGAGCGCUGAAGGUUGGUACUUGUACCAACUGGAUGAGCAGCGAACGGGUGAGUAACGCGUGGGGAAUCUGCCUUUGAGCGGGGGACAACAUUUGGAAACGAAUGCUAAUACCGCAUAAAAACUUUAAACACAAGUUUUAAGUUUGAAAGAUGCAAUUGCAUCACUCAAAGAUGAUCCCGCGUUGUAUUAGCUAGUUGGUGAGGUAAAGGCCCACCAAGGCGAUGAUACAUAGCCGACCUGAGAGGGUGAUCGGCCACAUUGGGACUGAGACACGGCCCAAACUCCUACGGGAGGCAGCAGUAGGGGAUCUUCGGCAAUGGACGAAAGUCUGACCGAGCAACGCCGCGUGAGUGAAGGAGGUUUUCGGAUCGUAAAACUCUGUUGGUAGAGAAGAACGUUGGUGAGAGUGGAAAGCUCAUCAAGUGACGGUAACUACCCAGAAAGGGACGGCUAACUACGUG